CAGAUGGGCCAAUCCCAAAUCUGGGGCCUCUGGAUGAGGAAAAGAAGGCCAUGACCAGGAAGUCAUGGUUACUCCACAUUCAUGGCUUUCUUCACAUUUCUUGAACUGCCAACAGAGUUUUGAACAGGCUCCUCUCAAAGUUGCAAAACUGCUUUAAGGCACCUGCCAAAGAGAAAGCCAGAAGCCACAGAAGUACCCCCUUCUCAAAGCCAGUCCCUGGGAUGCUGCCUCAAAAAUGCCUUCUUCAGUGGGAACAGAAUUCUUUGUGGUGUCUGCACACUAGAUUCCUCCUGCUGCCUCCUUCCCUUGCUCGUAUUUUGACAUCGGGUCCUGAGCAUCCAGCCUUCUCUUCCCGCGCCCCCCCAUCAUUCAGUGCCAGCUCUUUGCCAGAGCUGAUGAGUUAGAUGUGAGCCUCUGGUUCUGGCCCGAAGGUCCUGGGGGCUGGUGUGCCACACUGGCAUAAUGCUGAAGUGACAGCAGUGACCCCAACGCCCAGACUGCCCUGGAAAUAGGAGGGGGGCAGGGGAAAGGUCAGGAGUGUGGGUUUGCUCUCUGCCGUUCCUGCAGGAUGGAAAGCCCUACACAAGCCAAAGACGGAGACUGGAGGGGACAGCUGCAAGUGGAGACAGUGGCCUCAUGCUCACUUGGGAUUCCUGUCCUGGCAGCAGAACUGUGUGCUCUGUGAGCCACCCACCAACACAUGGCAAUUAGGGAAGAAAUAUGUCAUUUCAUACCCUCACAGUGUGUCUGGUUCAGUGGCCAAACAACAGGGAGAAAUUCUUAAUCCCUCUCCUUUGUCCCUCACAUCCCAUCCAUGGCCAAUGGUGUCAACUCAACCUCCAAGACAGAUUUAGAAUUAUCCUCUUAUCUCCAUCUCUCAGCCCAGCCCCAGCCCCAGCCCCAUCCCCACCCCACCCACUGCUCCUCAGACUCUUACUUUCCCUCAUUCUCACCCUAAUCCAUCCCUCACACAGCAGCCAGAGUCAGAGAUAUGACACAUAAAGCCUAUCAUACCCACCCCCGGCCUAAAAUCCUGUAGUGGAUUGACCAGUUGCCCCAAAACUCACAUCGACCUGGGAUCUCACAAUGUGACCUUACUUGGAAAUAGAUUCUUUGCAUGGGUGAUUAAGAUGAGGUCCUGCUGGAGGAAGGUGGGCCUUAGACCCAAUGACUGGUGUCCUCAGAAGAAGAGGAGAGGACACAGAGAGGAAGGCCACGUGAAGACAGGCAGAUUGGAGUGAUGCAUACAAGCCGAGGAAUGCCAAGGUUUCUUCCCUAGAGCCAUCGAAGGGAGCAUGGCCCUGCCAACACCCAGAGUUCAGAUCGUACCCUCCAGAACUGUGAGAGAAUAAAUGUGAGUGGUUUUAAGCCGCUCAGUUGGUGGUACUUUGUUAUUGCAGCCCCAGGGGACUGAUACAAACCCUUAAUAAAUGGCAUUCAAAAUUGUA
Molecule: long non-coding RNA, 1448 nt
Organism: Canis lupus familiaris (dog)
Lineage: Eukaryota; Metazoa; Chordata; Mammalia; Carnivora; Canidae
Exons: 2
Source: RefSeq, a predicted model, not a curated record